RNAcentral lists this transfer RNA (72 nucleotides) under Marmota monax (woodchuck). RNAcentral's name for it is "tRNA.Ala". The stretch from base 5 to 65 matches the Rfam family "tRNA", at positions 6 to 65 of the family's 71-position model. From Rfam's summary of the family: Transfer RNA (tRNA) molecules are approximately 80 nucleotides in length. Their secondary structure includes four short double-helical elements and three loops (D, anti-codon, and T loops). The record is from RNAcentral. Lineage: Eukaryota; Metazoa; Chordata; Mammalia; Rodentia; Sciuridae.
GUGUUGUGGCUCAGUGGCAGAGUGCUUGCCUUGCAUGUGUGAGGCACUGGGUUCAAUUCUCAGCACUGCAUA